This 475-nucleotide ribosomal RNA is filed under the name Papilio peranthus transiens. Its description in RNAcentral is "partial 16S ribosomal RNA". The record is from RNAcentral. Lineage: Eukaryota; Metazoa; Arthropoda; Insecta; Lepidoptera; Papilionidae.
UUUUUGAAAAUAAUUUAAAGUCUAAUCUGCCCACUGAUNAAAUUAUUAAAGGGCUGCAGUAUUUUGACUGUACAAAGGUAGCAUAAUCAUUAGUCUCUUAAUUGGUGACUUGUAUGAAAGAUUGGAUGAGAUAUAUACUGUCUCUAUUUAAUUUAUAAAAUUUAAUUUUUUAGUAAAAAAGCUAAAAUUAUUUUAAAAGACGAGAAGACCCUAUAGAGUUUUAUAAUUUAUUUAAUUAUUAUUAAUAUGUAAAUUUUAAAAUUAAAAUUAAAUAAAUUAUUUUGUUGGGGUGAUAGAAAAAUUAAAUUAACUUUUUUUUUAUUGUAUACAUUAAUUUAUGGAUAAAUGAUCCAUUAAUAGUGAUUAAAAGAAAAAAUUACCUUAGGGAUAACAGCGUAAUUUUUUUUUUUAGUUCAAAUAGGAAAAAAAGUUUGCGACCUCGAUGUUGGAUUAAGAUAAAAUUUAAAUGCAAAAG